RNAcentral lists this ribosomal RNA (497 nucleotides) under uncultured bacterium. RNAcentral describes it as "partial 16S ribosomal RNA". It matches the Rfam family "Bacterial small subunit ribosomal RNA", at positions 28 to 507 of the family's 1533-position model. The record is from RNAcentral.
GAUGAACGCUGGCGGCGUGCCUAAUACAUGCAAGUCGAGCGAACGGACGAGAAGCUUGCUUCUCUGAUGUUAGCGGCGGACGGGUGAGUAACACGUGGAUAACCUACCUAUAAGACUGGGAUAACUUCGGGAAACCGUAGCUAAUACCGGAUAAUAUUUUGAACCGCAUGGUUCAAAAGUGAAAGACGGUCUUGCUGUCACUUAUAGAUGGAUCCGCGCUGCAUUAGCUAGUUGGUAAGGUAACGGCUUACCAAGGCAACGAUGCAUAGCCGACCUGAGAGGGUGGUCGGCCACACUGGAACUGAGACACGGUCCAGACUCCUACGGGAGGCAGCAGUAGGGAAUCUUCCGCAAUGGGCGAAAGCCUGACGGAGCAACGCCGCGUGAGUGAUGAAGGUCUUCGGAUCGUAAAACUCUGUUAUUAGGGAAGAACAUAUGUGUAAGUAACUGUGCACAUCUUGACGGUACCUAAUCAGAAAGCCCCGGCUAACUACGUG